Molecule: ribosomal RNA, 253 nt
Filed under: uncultured bacterium
Lineage: Bacteria
Description: partial 16S ribosomal RNA
Rfam family: Bacterial small subunit ribosomal RNA
Source: RNAcentral
UACGUAGGGUGCGAGCGUUGUCCGGAAUUAUUGGGCGUAAAGGGCUCGUAGGCGGUUUGUCGCGUCGGGAGUGAAAUCCACUGGCUUAACUGGUGGCUUGCUUUCGAUACGGGCAGACUGGAGGUAUGCAGGUGAGAACGGAAUUCCUGGUGUAGCGGUGAAAUGCGCAGAUAUCAGGAGGAACACCGGUGGCGAAGGCGGUUCUCUGGGCAUGUCCUGACGCUGAGGAGCGAAAGUGUGGGGAGCGAACAGG